UAGUUUCCCGUACACGUGAAUUUCCCCAAC
RNAcentral lists this non-coding RNA (30 nucleotides) under Rattus norvegicus (Norway rat). Lineage: Eukaryota; Metazoa; Chordata; Mammalia; Rodentia; Muridae. The record is from RNAcentral.